CAAUAAGCGGAGGAAAAGAAACCAACAGGGAUUGCCUCAGUAACGGCGAGUGAAGCGGCAACAGCUCAAAUUUGAAAUCUGGCUUCUUUCAGGGCCCGAGUUGUAAUUUGUAGAGGAUGCCUUCGGGUGUGGCCCCGGCCUAAGUUCCUUGGAACAGGACGUCACAGAGGGUGAGAAUCCCGUAUGUGGCUGGAGGUCUAUACCCAUGUGAAGCUCCUUCGACGAGUCGAGUUGUUUGGGAAUGCAGCUCAAAAUGGGUGGUAAGUUUCAUCUAAAGCUAAAUACUGGCGGGAGACCGAUAGCGCACAAGUAGAGUGAUCGAAAGAUGAAAAGCACUUUGGAAAGAGAGUUAAAAAGUACGUGAAAUUGUUGAAAGGGAAGCGCUUGCGACCAGACUUGCCCUCGGUUGAUCAACCGGUGUUCUUCACCGGUGCACUCGGCUGAGGUCAGGCCAGCAUCAGUUCAGGCGGUUGGAGAAAGACCUUGGGAAUGUGGCUCCCUCCGGGGAGUGUUAUAGCCCGUGGUGUCAUGCGACCAGCCUGGACUGAGGACCGCGCUUCGUGCUAGGAUGCUGGCGUAAUGGUCGUAAGCGACCCGUCUUGAAACACGGACCAAGGAGUCUAACAUCUAUGCGAGUGUUUGGGUGUAAAACCCAUGCGCGUAAUGAAAGUGAACGGAGGUGGGAACCCUUGAGGGUGCACCAUCGACCGAUCCUGAUGUCUUCGGAUGGAUUUGAGUAAGAGCAUAGCUGUUGGGACCCGAAAGAUGGUGAACUAUGCCUGAAUAGGGUGAAGCCAGAGGAAACUCUGGUGGAGGCUCGCAGCGGUUCUGACGUGCAAAUCGAUCGUCAAAUUUGGGUAUAGGGGCGAAAGACUAAUCGA
Molecule: ribosomal RNA, 881 nt
Filed under: Glutinoglossum heptaseptatum
Lineage: Eukaryota; Fungi; Ascomycota; Geoglossomycetes; Geoglossales; Geoglossaceae
Description: eukaryotic LSU rRNA
Rfam family: Eukaryotic large subunit ribosomal RNA
Source: RNAcentral